This 6041-nucleotide long non-coding RNA is filed under the name Salvia miltiorrhiza (redroot sage). RNAcentral describes it as "long non-coding RNA (SMIL_LNC008586)". The record is from RNAcentral. Lineage: Eukaryota; Viridiplantae; Streptophyta; Magnoliopsida; Lamiales; Lamiaceae.
UGUCAUCAAAAUAUCCAGGUAUUAGGUAAAACUUGUGCUAAGCAAAACUUUAAAUACUUAAAUUAGUUGGAAAUCAAAUCAACUACUUGAUAAAUGUCUUGAAUCUCGAUGCGCCCAUUCGACCUUCCACGCGUCUCCAACGUCAAAAUACCUGAAAUGUUUAAUAUGGGAUGAGCAUAUGAAAUAUACUCAGUGUGGGAAACAUGCAAUAAUUGUCCACGUUAAUAAAAUGGUCAACACAUACGCACUGCACUGUACUGAUAACUGAAAUUCGCACGGUGGCAUACCAAGGACUUUAAAGUCCUGGACCCAUUGAGCAGGCCCCUGGCGAAUAGGUUGCAACCCUAACUGUAACAUGAAAUCGCAUUGUGGCAUACCAAGGACGGUGAAGUCCUGGACCCAUUGAGCGGGCCCCUAGCGAUAUAACUGAAUUUACAACACAUAUGGCAAACACAUAAUAUUAAAAUGGACAAAGAUUAACCACAGCAUGUACUGAAAUAAAUCCCACACCUGAAACUUGAACUUGAUAACUGACUUGAAUAGUUCAAUGAAAAGUUAUGUCCUAGUCGCGUCGCACCUAGUCAGAUAAAUUCAAAUAAUAAAAUAUAAGGGCCUAAUUGAACUUUAAAAUAAUAAUAGUAGUUUAAAUCUUAAGAAUUUAUUAACAUAAAACCAUUUAGAAAAAAUAAUCGAUCUAAUGAAUCAAAUAAUAAAAUGCAUGCUUACUUUAAAAAUUUGGGUUAGUGUUACAAAAAUACCAAGUCCAAUUUAAUUAAAAGAAAAAUGCAACUCAAAGCAAAUUAAAAUGAAGCCCAAUUAUGCUAAAUACAGUCCAAAAUGUAAUCAAAAACAAUCCCUUUUGAUAAAAAUUAGUGCAAUCUAUCAUAAGCCAACAUAUACGCCUAUUCUCCUGGCCCAGCCCUCUCUCUUCUCCUUGUCGCCCGGGCCCCGCCGCCGGAGGCCGGCGGCUCUACCUCCCCUUCCCAUCUCCUCAACCUCUCUUCCUCUUCCCUCAUCUCUCGCUCCCCGUUGACCUCUCUCCCUCAACUCUCGUCUCCAGCCUCUCUCUUUCUCUCUCGGCCAGAAGGCCCUCGGCGAAGCCGACGCCGCCCCCCCUGCUCUGGUGAGCAGCCAGCCGUCACCUCCAGCCCGACGUCGCCUCCCCUUCUUUCUCUCUCUUCCUCAGCCGAACAGCCAUCGGCGAGGCCGAAGCUGCCGCCUCCUUAUUCCAGAUCUGGGCCCUCUCCUUCCUUCGGCCGGCAAAAACGGACUGCCGUCGCCGCCGCCAUACCAGGCAGCAGCAGUUGGCGGCCGCCGCCCAGCUUCCUCUUUCCUCCGUCCAACCAGAGCAGCACAGCAGCGGCCGAGGCCACCGCGCCGCCGCCCCUACUCCUUCCGCCAGCCGCCGUGGCGCGCAGCGCCGGCGGCGCUGUUCAACAGUUCCCCCUAUACAAAACCCCCUUCCAGUUCCUUCUUCUAUUCUUUUUCUUUUUCUAUGUAAUUAGCAACAUAUGGAUUUGCAGAAAAAAUAGAUGUAUGCAUGAUUGGAUUUUGAAAAUAAAUUUUUGCUGAUUAGUAUUGGUUUUGGCGAAAAUGAUGAAAAAGAUGAAGAAAAUUAUUGAUAUGCUGAAGUGAAAUAACUUUGCAGAAAUUAUUAAAAUUACCAAUGGAAUUCUGCAGUGAAAAGAGCGGAUUGAGUUAUGUGAUGAAACUGUGAAAGGGAACAAGUAGGUCGGUUGCUGCUGGGUUUACAGAUUGGGGGUGAUGGAAUGAAGGUUAAAAUAGGGUGAAAAUCGUGUGAUGCACGAAAUGCAAAAUAAGAGGCUGACAAGAAUGCAUAAAUUUUGGUGAAGGAAAUUAUACUUGAUCCCCAAGAAUACAAAGUUAAAAUAUGUGGUUGAAGAAAAUGAAAUAUGGUGAAAUGAAACACGUUGCUGUCUGAGCUAUUUUUCUCUAAAAUUGUGUUUUCGAAAUAGUGAAAAUAGAUGCUGAUGGGCUUAUAUUAAUAUAGCCCAAAGAAAAAAUAUAAACCAAUUAGAGAACUAUGUAAAUAUUUAUUGCUAAGUAAAAAUCUGUAAUCUAAAAUUAAUGAUCUAUCUAGGGGCGCGACUAAACAAAAACAUAAAUAUUAUAUAUCAUAAAAUUUUCAAUGAUUUCACCAUUUAAAUGCAUUACAAUAACUGAAAUUUGAAAUAAUUUAAAAUAAAAUAAUUUUGAAUAAAUCAUUUGGUUUCGGGCUGUCACAACCCUACCUACUUAGAGAAAAUUUCGUCCUCGAAAUUUAACUUAAUAGGUUCUAAAUGGGAAUAAUGAGCUAGGAUUUCUCUUCUCAUUCUCAUGUAGUUUCUUGGGGUCCGUGCCUAGUUCACUCUAUAUUUGACUAUCGGUGCUUCUUGACUUCGUAAAGCUUGUACUUUUGAUCUAGUAUACUGAUUGACUUUUCUUUUGUACGCUGAUGAAUGAUGUGGCUGAAAUCGUGCAAGUAUUUCGCAAUCCUCGAGAAACACAUUUGUACAGCUGACCAUUGUAGCGUGAAAGCUAGACGGUAGGCUACAUCAUCCUAUUCGUUCUCGAAUUUUAAACGAACCUAUAAAUCGAGGUCUCAAUUUUCGUUUCUUUCUGAACCACGGGACUCUAUUUAUCGGUGCUACUUAAGGAGAAUACUUCCGCCAACCUUGAAAUAGAACGUCGAAAUAGAACUUCUUUCUUCUAUCGGUCCCGUGCCAUUUUGAUCCUUUUGUCUCGCAAUUACUUCGAUGGUUGCUUUCACGAUUUUUGGGCCUAACACUUAUCGUUUGCCAAAUACAUCCCUAAUGUAAAGAUGACCUACACUUUUUCCUAUAUAAUGCCUCGUAUAGAGCCUAUGUUGAUAGUAGUUGGAAAACUGCUAUUAUUCGUGAAUUCUAUCGACGGUAAAUGAGCUUCCUAACAAACUCAACUAUCGUUUUCUUCUUUCAUCUUUAACAUCUUGUGAAGGUCUUGGUGUUUCCAGGGCGUGCCGUGUAACUCGUGCGAUGCUCUUGAAAAAUUUUCUCCAUCAGUUUAUUGUCCUUGGGGACCCAAAUUCUGUCUACCUACUAAACAUUCUAUCACUUGCCAAUAUGAAUAUCCAUAUUAUCGUCUCUUAAAUCUCUAUUCGUCAUUCGGUGGAGAAAAGUCGUUGAUUUCCUGAGCUUCCUUAAGUUAAUCUUGUAUCGUGAACACUAAUGUUGCUAACUUAACUUUCUGAGUAUUCGAAGUUACUACGUCGAGUUUCUACCUUUUGAAUUCUCUUAUCAAGGUCUCUUGUUGAGUUAUCAUCCAAGCGAGUUGUCUUUUAUCUUUUCCUGCUAAGUGCCACGCCACCACAUUAGCUUUUUCUUGGUAAUGUUGUAUGGUGUAAUCGUAGUCUAACACAAGCUCUAGCCAUCUUUUCUGUCUCCUGUCCAGCUCCUUGCUUCAAUGUGUCAGUGUAGAUACGGAGUUGUCUAAUCCAGCUGGUAUGGUCAACACUGGUACUGUCGUCAAUCUUCUCUUCAAUUCUUGAAAUCAUGCCCGCACUUGUCAGUCAUUUGAACGUGACUGAUCACCUUGUUAAUCGUGCCUUGAUGAAUCUUCUACAAUAACCUGCGAGUCCUAAGAAACAUUUUACUCACUAGCAUUUGUAAGCGUCCUCCAAUUAUUGAUAGCUUCUGCUUUAGCUGGGUCCACUUCGAUUCCUUGAGCAAUUACUACGCGAGCGAGAAAGACUACUCGAUUUAACGAAAACUCGCACUUCUUAAAUCUGCGUAAAGUUUCGCGUUCCAUAAAGUUAAUAAGACGAUCUUGAAAUAUUCAUCACGUCACACAUCGUUACUUAAGUAUAUCAAAAUAUUGUUGAUGAAAACUAUGACUAACUUAUCUGGAAAGUCGUCUUCGAUAUAUCACUCUAUUUUAUCCUAAUUUGAUGGCAACCCAAUCUCAAGUCGAUCUUCGAAAUCACGUCUACUUCUUUCAAUUGGUUGAGUAAAUCUUCUACCCGUGGCAAAUGGUACUUUCUCUUGAUGGUGAGUCGAUCUAGCCCAAACAAUAAACACACACAUCAUUCGUUCCGUCUUUCUUCUUGACCAUUAAGAAUGGCAUUUCCCACGGACGACAUGCUUGGACAAUAAACCUUAUGUCUAAACGCUCUCGCAAUUGCGUAUUUAAUUCUUCAAUUCUUUUGGCGCCAUCAUAUGAUGCUUUGAAAUAGGUGCAACUCUAGGUACUAGAUCGAUCGUGAACUAUACUUGUCUAUCUAGCAGCGAUAUUCAAGCGAGAUCCUCAAGGUGACGCUGAGGAAAAAUCAUGUACCACUAGCACACUCUCGAGGGGAAGUUCUUCGUCUUCUUUUCCUUCAAUGUUUACUACACGGCGCUUCCUAGAAUAUUGAUCUAAUAUCUCCAUUGCUUUCAUCACAGAUAUCGUCGUUUCAGAGUUCCUCCACAAGUUGAAAGAAACAUAUGAUGUUUUCUGUCCGUUGGUACAAUUGAGAUGAGUGAAAACUCGUUCUAGUUCCUCUAACCCUUCUUCAACUGCUAAUUACCUAUCAGGUCUAUCGAAUCAUUGCGAGUUGUAGUUCAUUCGACAGCACUAUCCAUCGCGUUAAGCAUUUGAGUUGACUUUAGGUCGCGUAGCCUGAGCUUGGGUUUGUUGUUUGGACAAAUCCUCGUAAUGCACUCAAAAUUGAUUCUUGAAAUCUCAUCCACUAGUUUGACGAGUUUGUUUUGCUUAGCUUCGUCCUUGUAGUUCGUGCUAGUGUUCUCUACACUAGCUACGAGAAUAGGCAUGCGUACUUCUUAUGGAUCUAUAUUCAGGGACAUUUUAUAUAGGUUUCUACGCACUUACGAAUUGAGAGGUAUAGGUCAAAGCUUUUCUAGGAAAAUUUCUAGGUUAUUCCUAUUUCGAGGACGAUGUUCAAAAAAAUAUUUCAAAACCCGUAAUUCAAUAUCAUGAACUGAAAUAUUCCGAAAUAAAAUCAUAGCUGCAAUAAUCUUCAACAUGAUGAAUUGUAUACUGAACUUUCUCAUAAUAACUUGAUAAUGAACUUGAACUUUCUGAUAAACUUCAAUUAUUGCAGCAAGUUUAACAUAAAUUCGGAAUAUAAACAGUUUAUACUCAUCCCCUUGAAAACUUUUAAAAUAACUUUUACCUUGACGUCGGAGCGCGUAGUGGUCGAAUGGCCUUGUCACACUUGACUUGAAACAUUUUAAGAAAAAUUUUAUUUUGCAGAGUCUACAGGAAAGUAGACCUGCUCUGAUACCAUGCUGUAACACCCUAAUCUAAUUAACGUAUUAAAAUAUGAAUGUAAUAAUUUUUUGACAGCGGAAAAUAUCAUAAAAUAAAGAUUUGGAUUUAUUAUCAAAUAAAUAAAUUUUUAAAUAAAAUAUUUUGAAAACACUUCAAAGGGAGCAAACCCUAAAAAAAUUAAACUUUUAAAAUAAUGUACUCAAAGGCUAACUUUGAUUUAAAAAUCGACAAUCAACCUCUUAUUUCAAAGCAUGACAUAAAGAUGUCAUCAAAAUAUCCAGGUAUUAGGUAAAACUUGUGCUAAGCAAAACUUUAAAUACUUAAAUUAGUUGAAAAUCAAAUCAACUACUUGAUAAAUGUCUUGAAUCUCGAUGCGCCCAUUCGACCUUCCACGCGUCUCCAACGUCAAAAUACCUGAAAUGUUUAAUAUGGGAUGAGCAUACAGAAUAUACUCAGUGUGGGAAACAUGCAAUAAUUGUCCACGUUAAUAAAAUGGUCAACACAUACGCACUGCACUGUACUGAUAACUGAAAUUCGCACGGUGGCAUACCAAGGACUUUAAAGUCCUGGACCCAUUGAGCAGGCCCCUGGCGAAUAGGUUGCAACCCUAACUGUAACAUGAAAUCGCAUUGUGGCAUACCAAGGACGGUGAAGUCCUGGACCCAUUGAGCGGGCCCCUAGCGAUAUAACUGAAUUUACAACACAUAUGGCGAACGCAUAAUAUUAAAAUGGACAAAGAUUAACCACAACAUGUACUGAAAUAAAUCCCACACCUGAAACUUGAACUUGAACUU